UGGGGAAUAUUGCACAAUGGGCGCAAGCCUGAUGCAGCCAUGCCGCGUGUAUGAAGAAGGCCUUCGGGUUGCAAAGUACUUUCAGCGGGGAGGAAGGUGUUGUGGUUAAUAACCACAGCAAUUGACGUUACCCGCAGAAGAAGCACCGGCUAACUCCGUGCCAGCAGCCGCGGUAAUACGGAGGGUGCAAGCGUUAAUCGGAAUUACUGGGCGUAAAGCGCACGCAGGCGGUCUGUCAAGUCGGAUGUGAAAUCCCCGGGCUCAACCUGGGAACUGCAUUCGAAACUGGCAGGCUAGAGUCUUGUAGAGGGGGGUAGAAUUCCAGGUGUAGCGGUGAAAUGCGUAGAGAUCUGGAGGAAUACCGGUGGCGAAGGCGGCCCCCUGGACAAAGACUGACGCUCAGGUGCGAAAGCGUGGGGAGCAAACA
Molecule: ribosomal RNA, 427 nt
Filed under: uncultured bacterium
Lineage: Bacteria
Description: partial 16S ribosomal RNA
Rfam family: Bacterial small subunit ribosomal RNA
Source: RNAcentral